GAAAACCAGCAGUCACAGGGGGAUGUGGCAGUGCCUGAUGUGGCAGUAACAGAGCAACGCAGGGUCAAUUGGUGGAAAAGGGACCUGGAUGGACAAAGGUUAACUAGGAAGAAAAGGAAGAAAAAGGUAUCAUCUGCUGGUGCUUAUGCUGCUACUGAAGAUCCCUCUUCCAGCAAUGAAAUUCCCUCUUCUAGCACUUCAAUGUCUAACAAGUACCUGCAUGCUGACUUCACUUUACAGAGGCUGGAGGAAAUUUUACAGGAGGAAAGCAAUCUUGAUUGCCAACAGACACCAAUAUCAAUUUGGAGCAAAAGGCAGAGGGAAGUCCAGCAACGCUGGCAACAGUCAAGGCAGCAAAAUCUUGACAGCCUUCUGGCAGCCAAGAGCACCACAGACAGAUGUUGUAGUCACUGCCAGUCAGAAAAAGCAGUCAUCUGUUGCCGUGA
Long non-coding RNA from Sander lucioperca (pikeperch), 446 nucleotides. RefSeq lists it as uncharacterized. The record is from RefSeq and is a predicted model, not a curated record. Lineage: Eukaryota; Metazoa; Chordata; Actinopteri; Perciformes; Percidae. The transcript is spliced from 3 exons.